Molecule: long non-coding RNA, 273 nt
Filed under: Fukomys damarensis (Damara mole-rat)
Lineage: Eukaryota; Metazoa; Chordata; Mammalia; Rodentia; Bathyergidae
Description: lncRNA (ENSFDAG00000023642.1)
Source: RNAcentral
CUCUUCUUUUUUCAAGGACAAAAAAAAAAAGAAAAAAAAACAUCAUACUUAGGGUCAGCAAUCACUUAACCCAUUUAGGUUGGUCAAGAUAACCAAGAAAACAAAUCAAGGUUGCUGGUCUAUUGCAUUUUGAACUGGAUUCUGACCACACGUCAGAAAAAAAUUCCUAUGGUGCAAUUCCAAUCCCCAACUACCUCCGAGGACAACUGCAUUUGAAGACAAUCUUUAACCAGGUGAUUGAUUAAAAUGAGAGUAGGAGGACUAGACUGCAAU